GACGAACGCUGGCGGCGCGCCUAACACAUGCAAGUCGAACGGGGUGCGUUCGAAUGAAGUUUUCGGAUGGAAUUUGGAUGUACCUAGUGGCGAACGGGUGAGUAACACGUGAAUAACCUGCCCUGGAGUGGGGGACAACAGUUGGAAACGACUGCUAAUACCGCAUAAGCCCACAGAGCCGCAUGGCUCAGGGGGAAAAGGAGCAAUUCGCUUCAGGAUGGAUUCGCGUCCAAUUAGCUGGAUGGUGAGGUAACGGCCCACCAUGGCAACGAUUGGUAGCCGGACUGAGAGGUUGAUCGGCCACAUUGGGACUGAGACACGGCCCAGACUCCUACGGGAGGCAGCAGUGGGGAAUAUUGCACAAUGGGGGAAACCCUGAUGCAGCGACGCCGCGUGAGUGAAGAAGUAUUUCGGUAUGUAAAGCUCUAUCAGCAGGGAAGAAAAUGACGGUACCUGACUAAGAAGCCCCGGNUAACUACGUG
RNAcentral lists this ribosomal RNA (482 nucleotides) under uncultured bacterium. RNAcentral's name for it is "bacterial SSU rRNA". It matches the Rfam family "Bacterial small subunit ribosomal RNA", at positions 28 to 507 of the family's 1533-position model. The record is from RNAcentral.